CAGCAGCCGCGGUAAUACGAAGGGUGCAAGCGUUAAUCGGAAUUACUGGGCGUAAAGCGUGCGUAGGUGGUGGUUUAAGUCCGUUGUGAAAGCCCUGGGCUCAACCUGGGAAUUGCAGUGGAUACUGGGUCACUAGAGUGUGGUAGAGGAUAGUGGAAUUUCCGGUGUAGCAGUGAAACGCGUAGAGAUCGGAAGGAACAUCUGUGGCGAAGGCGACUAUCUGGGCCAACACUGACACUGAGGCACGAAAGCGUGGGGAGCAAACAGGAUUAGAUACCCCCGUAGUCCCUGUCUCUUAUAC
RNAcentral lists this ribosomal RNA (301 nucleotides) under uncultured bacterium. RNAcentral's name for it is "partial 16S ribosomal RNA". It matches the Rfam family "Bacterial small subunit ribosomal RNA", at positions 509 to 807 of the family's 1533-position model. The record is from RNAcentral.